UACGUAGGUGGCAAGCGUUGUCCGGAUUUACUGGGCGUAAAGAGCGCGCAGGCGGUCGUUCAAGUCGCGUGUGAAAGCCCCCGGCUCAACUGGGGAGGGUCACGCGAUACUGAUCGACUCGAAGGCAGGAGAGGGAUGCAGAAUUCCAGGUGUAGCGGUGAAAUGCGUAGAUAUCUGGAGGAAUACCGGUGGCGAAGGCGGCAUCCUGGACCGACAUUGACGCUGAACGGCGAAAGCUAGGGGAGCAAACGGG
Molecule: ribosomal RNA, 253 nt
Filed under: uncultured bacterium
Lineage: Bacteria
Description: partial 16S ribosomal RNA
Rfam family: Bacterial small subunit ribosomal RNA
Source: RNAcentral